Molecule: ribosomal RNA, 521 nt
Filed under: uncultured Escherichia sp.
Lineage: Bacteria; Pseudomonadati; Pseudomonadota; Gammaproteobacteria; Enterobacterales; Enterobacteriaceae
Description: bacterial SSU rRNA
Rfam family: Bacterial small subunit ribosomal RNA
Source: RNAcentral
AGAGUUUGAUCCUGGCUCAGAUUGAACGCUGGCGGCAGGCCUAACACAUGCAAGUCGAACGGUAACAGGAAGCAGCUUGCUGCUUCGCUGACGAGUGGCGGACGGGUGAGUAAUGUCUGGGAAACUGCCUGAUGGAGGGGGAUAACUACUGGAAACGGUAGCUAAUACCGCAUAACGUCGCAAGACCAAAGAGGGGGACCUUCGGGCCUCUUGCCAUCGGAUGUGCCCAGAUGGGAUUAGCUUGUUGGUGGGGUAACGGCUCACCAAGGCGACGAUCCCUAGCUGGUCUGAGAGGAUGACCAGCCACACUGGAACUGAGACACGGUCCAGACUCCUACGGGAGGCAGCAGUGGGGAAUAUUGCACAAUGGGCGCAAGCCUGAUGCAGCCAUGCCGCGUGUAUGAAGAAGGCCUUCGGGUUGUAAAGUACUUUCAGCGGGGAGGAAGGGAGUAAAGUUAAUACCUUUGCUCAUUGACGUUACCCGCAGAAGAAGCACCGGCUAACUCCGUGCCAGCAGCCGC